This 271-nucleotide unclassified non-coding RNA is filed under the name Glomus sp. RNAcentral's name for it is "partial contains 5.8S ribosomal RNA and internal transcribed spacer 2". The stretch from base 1 to 71 matches the Rfam family "5.8S ribosomal RNA", at positions 84 to 154 of the family's 154-position model. The record is from RNAcentral. Lineage: Eukaryota; Fungi; Glomeromycota; Glomeromycetes; Glomerales; Glomeraceae.
GUGAAUCAUCGAAUUUUUGAACGCAAAUUGCACUCUCUGGUAUUCCGGUAAGUAUGCCUGUUUGAGGGUCAGUUUAAUAAUAAUCGUUGUUGUUGCUUCCUUUCGUGUUGACGCUUCGGCACUUGGUCUUUUUACCUUCGGUUAAGUUACUUAAAAUUUGUGCUUGUUCUUCGUACGUAUUUAAAUCGCUUACUUACUUUUGUGAUAUUUAAUGCUUAUUAGGUUCGGUCAUUCCCAUACUUGGUGCCUAUAAUUUUUUCCUUGAAUGACA